AACGAACGCUGGCGGCAGGCCUAACACAUGCAAGUCGAACGCCCUAGCAAUAGGGAGUGGCGCACGGGUGCGUAACGCGUGGGAAUAUGCCCUUCACUGCGGAAUAACGUUUGGAAACGAACGCUAAUACCGCAUAAUGACUCCGGUCCAAAGAUUUAUCGGUGAAGGAUUAGCCCGCGUUAGAUUAGCUAGUUGGUGAGGUAAUGGCUCACCAAGGCGACGAUCUAUAGCUGGUCUGAGAGGAUGAUCAGCCACACUGGGACUGAGACACGGCCCAGACUCCUACGGGAGGCAGCAGUGAGGGAUAUUGGACAAUGGGCGCAAGCCUGAUCCAGCCAUGCCGCGUGAGUGAAGAAGGCCUUCGGGUUGUAAAGCUCUUUCUAGAUGUGAAGAUAAUGACGGUAGCAUCAGAAGAAGCCCGGCUAAUUACGUGCCAGCAGCCGCGGUAA
Molecule: ribosomal RNA, 449 nt
Filed under: uncultured bacterium
Lineage: Bacteria
Description: bacterial SSU rRNA
Rfam family: Bacterial small subunit ribosomal RNA
Source: RNAcentral